UCCGGCUUACCACCGGCAGUCUCACUAGAGUGCCCGACAUUACUCGCUGGCAACUAGCGACAAGGGUUGCGCUCGUUGCGGGACUUAACCCAACAUCUCACGACACGAGCUGACGACAGCCAUGCAGCACCUGUGCACGGACCCCGAAGGGAGGGUGUGUUUCCACACCUGUCCCGUGCAUGUCAAACCGGAGGAAGGUGGGGAUGACGUGUAACCGAAU
This 220-nucleotide unclassified non-coding RNA is filed under the name uncultured Latescibacterota bacterium. RNAcentral's name for it is "uncultured Latescibacteria bacterium contains 16S-23S intergenic spacer region". The record is from RNAcentral. Lineage: Bacteria; Pseudomonadati; Candidatus Latescibacterota.